GAAAACAAGAGAUCCAAUUGGGGAUGGAGAUCGAGAGAAAGGCAGGCUAUGCUUGGGCGGUUGCUGCUGGAGUAAAUGCCGCUGCAACUGCCGUGGCUGCUAAAUUCUUCGCGUCUCAGCUGAAAUAUGCCCUGGUUAUAUUCUUCAAUGUCUUAAUGUGGGGAUGCUCAGUUAAUAGCAUGAAGUCCCUCUCAUCUUUACAAGCUACAGUGACAAACUUUGCAACAAAUUUUCUCUCCUCUGGACUGGCCGGAUUCUUCCUCUUCAAGGAGGCACUUCCUGUUAAGUGGUUUGUAGGUGCAUCUCUAAUUGUCGCCGGUGUUAUUGUCCUAAGCAAGUCGAGCAUUGAGAAGAAAACACACACAACAUAGACUGCACCAUUGCAUCAUACUGCAUAUCACACACCACACUCAUCAAGGAUUGCUCUUCUAUCCUGAAUUUCGUAAAAGGUUUUCUGCUGCGAAACUUUUGUUGGGUCCCAUGUUUCAUGUCCAUAUUAUCAUAUCAUCAAAGUGCCCUGAUGUUGGUGAACAUGAAGAUGUCUUACGACUGACUAUGAAUGCAGCAUCUUUGAUGUUUGCAUUAAACUCCAUGAAUUGAAGUCGCCAGGCUUACAACUUUUCUGGUUCAUGCUAUCACUGAUCUGAUUAGUUUCAAUUUGAUGAAGAAGCACAUGUCAGGUUAUGUUCUUGUCUGAAGUUUGAUACAGAAAUUACAUUUUAUCUCAGUAUUUAGUAUCAGUGAGUUAAGUGACUUAUUUCUAGCUUCACCUAACUCUACCCACUACUUAUUGGACCAUUUCUUUUGAUAUUUUGAGCAAUUAAUUAUUUACAUGUGGCCAAUUGUUCUUACAUUGGGGAGGUGGCAGUGUAAGAGAACAUGUGGGGGUAGUGUACCAGAAAUUCCUGUCCCCUCUUGAUUUGGAUCAUUACUCCAUUUUCCCAUCUGCCAUUCUUUUUUCUUUUCUUUUUUUUUUUUUUUUUUUUUCAAUUCAAUUUUUGUAUGAUAACAAUUCAGUUAGUAAACAAGCCAGCUAUUUUUAUUUUA
RNA transcript from Andrographis paniculata, 1047 nucleotides. RefSeq lists it as uncharacterized. The record is from RefSeq and is a predicted model, not a curated record. NCBI's taxonomy places the organism in Eukaryota, Viridiplantae, Streptophyta, Magnoliopsida, Lamiales, Acanthaceae. The transcript has 4 exons.